UACGGAGGAUGCAAGCGUUAUCCGGAUUCAUUGGGUUUAAAGGGUGCGCAGGUGGGCUUGUAAGUCAGUGGUGAAAUGCUGCCGCUUAACGGUAGAAUUGCCAUUGAUACUGUGAGUCUUGAGUAUGGUUGAGGUAGGCGGAAUGUGCAGUGUAGCGGUGAAAUGCAUAGAUAUUGCACAGAACUCCGAUUGCGAAGGCAGCUUACUAAGCCAUUACUGACGCUGAGGCACGAAAGCGUGGGUAGCGAACAGG
This 253-nucleotide ribosomal RNA is filed under the name uncultured bacterium. RNAcentral describes it as "partial 16S ribosomal RNA". It matches the Rfam family "Bacterial small subunit ribosomal RNA", at positions 524 to 776 of the family's 1533-position model. The record is from RNAcentral.